ACGUUGGCGGCGGACGGGUGAGUAACACGUGGGUAACCUACCUAUAAGACUGGGAUAACUUCGGGAAACCGGAGCUAAUACCGGAUAAUAUUUCGAACCGCAUGGUUCGAUAGUGAAAGAUGGUUUUGCUAUCACUUAUAGAUGGACCCGCGCCGUAUUAGCUAGUUGGUAAGGUAACGGCUUACCAAGGCGACGAUACGUAGCCGACCUGAGAGGGUGAUGGCCACACUGGAACUGAGACACGGUCCAGACUCCUACGGGAGGCAGCAGUG
This 272-nucleotide ribosomal RNA is filed under the name uncultured Staphylococcus sp. RNAcentral describes it as "partial 16S ribosomal RNA". It matches the Rfam family "Bacterial small subunit ribosomal RNA", at positions 89 to 356 of the family's 1533-position model. Lineage: Bacteria; Bacillati; Bacillota; Bacilli; Caryophanales; Staphylococcaceae. The record is from RNAcentral.